This 75-nucleotide transfer RNA is filed under the name Candidatus Shapirobacteria bacterium. Its description in RNAcentral is "tRNA-Arg". It matches the Rfam family "tRNA". Rfam says of the family: Transfer RNA (tRNA) molecules are approximately 80 nucleotides in length. Their secondary structure includes four short double-helical elements and three loops (D, anti-codon, and T loops). Lineage: Bacteria; Candidatus Shapironibacteriota. The record is from RNAcentral.
GCGCCCAUAGCUCAAUGGAUAGAGCACUGGUCUUCGGAACCAGGGAUGAGGGUUCAAUUCCUUCUGGGCGUACAA